This is a transfer RNA of Anaerostipes sp. 992a, 72 nucleotides long. It matches the Rfam family "tRNA". From Rfam's summary of the family: Transfer RNA (tRNA) molecules are approximately 80 nucleotides in length. Their secondary structure includes four short double-helical elements and three loops (D, anti-codon, and T loops). Lineage: Bacteria; Bacillati; Bacillota; Clostridia; Lachnospirales; Lachnospiraceae. The record is from Rfam.
UGGGCUAUCGCCAAAUGGUAAGGCCCUGGAUUCUGAUUCCAGUAUCUGCAGGUUCGAAUCCUGCUAGCCCAG